This 497-nucleotide ribosomal RNA is filed under the name uncultured bacterium. Its description in RNAcentral is "partial 16S ribosomal RNA". It matches the Rfam family "Bacterial small subunit ribosomal RNA", at positions 28 to 507 of the family's 1533-position model. The record is from RNAcentral.
GAUGAACGCUGGCGGCGUGCCUAAUACAUGCAAGUCGAGCGAACAGACGAGGAGCUUGCUCCUUCGACGUUAGCGGCGGACGGGUGAGUAACACGUAGGUAACCUACCUAUAAGACUGGGAUAACAUCGGGAAACCGGAGCUAAUACCGGAUAAUUUUUCGAACCGCAUGGUUCGAUAGUGAAAGAAGGCUUUGCUUUCUCUUAUAGAUGGACCCGCGCCGUAUUAGCUAGUUGGUAAGGUAACGGCUUACCAAGGCAACGAUACAUAGCCGACCUGAGAGGGUGAUCGGCCACACUGGAACUGAGACACGGUCCAGACUCCUACGGGAGGCAGCAGUAGGGAAUCUUCCGCAAUGGGCGAAAGCCUGACGGAGCAACGCCGCGUGAGUGAUGAAGGUCUUCGGAUCGUAAAACUCUGUUGUUAGGGAAGAACAAGCGUGUAAGUAACUGUGCACGUCUUGACGGUACCUAAUCAGAAAGCCACGGCUAACUACGUG